Molecule: transfer RNA, 75 nt
Filed under: Ktedonobacteria bacterium brp13
Lineage: Bacteria; Bacillati; Chloroflexota; Ktedonobacteria
Description: tRNA-Glu
Rfam family: tRNA
About the family: Transfer RNA (tRNA) molecules are approximately 80 nucleotides in length. Their secondary structure includes four short double-helical elements and three loops (D, anti-codon, and T loops).
Source: RNAcentral
GUGGGUGAAGCUAAAUCGAAAGAGCACUGCACUCUCAAUGCAGAGAUUUGCAGGUUCAAAUCCUGUCGCCUGCGC